RNAcentral lists this ribosomal RNA (497 nucleotides) under uncultured bacterium. Its description in RNAcentral is "partial 16S ribosomal RNA". It matches the Rfam family "Bacterial small subunit ribosomal RNA", at positions 28 to 507 of the family's 1533-position model. The record is from RNAcentral.
GAUGAACGCUGGCGGCGUGCCUAAUACAUGCAAGUCGAGCGAACAGAUAAGGAGCUUGCUCCUUUGACGUUAGCGGCGGACGGGUGAGUAACACGUGGGUAACCUACCUAUAAGACUGGGAUAACUUCGGGAAACCGGAGCUAAUACCGGAUAACAUUUGGAACCGCAUGGUUCUAAAGUGAAAGAUGGUUUUGCUAUCACUUAUAGAUGGACCCGCGCCGUAUUAGCUAGUUGGUAAGGUAACGGCUUACCAAGGCAACGAUACGUAGCCGACCUGAGAGGGUGAUCGGCCACACUGGAACUGAGACACGGUCCAGACUCCUACGGGAGGCAGCAGUAGGGAAUCUUCCGCAAUGGGCGAAAGCCUGACGGAGCAACGCCGCGUGAGUGAUGAAGGGUUUCGGCUCGUAAAACUCUGUUAUUAGUGAAGAACAAAUGUGUAAGUAACUGUGCACGUCUUGACGGUACCUAAUCAGAAAGCCACGGCUAACUACGUG